Mauremys mutica (yellowpond turtle) is the source of this 1379-nucleotide long non-coding RNA. RefSeq lists it as uncharacterized. The record is from RefSeq and is a predicted model, not a curated record. NCBI's taxonomy places the organism in Eukaryota, Metazoa, Chordata, Testudines, Geoemydidae. The transcript has 4 exons.
UCCUUGGUGUAUUAUUAAAUCUCCAGGAUUCAAGCAUUGCCUGAUUUGCCAUGAGUCCUUCCCUCUUAGUGACGGAGUCAGGCACUGCCUACUGGUAGACAUGCCUAGUGGUCAGACUGGAGGUCAAAGCCUGACAAAGGGUUGGGACUGGGCCGAGGGAGGUGCUGAAACCAUAGCUGAGGACAGGCUGGGGUCAGAACCAAAAUCAGAGACCGUAGACAAGCCAGAAUCAGUACCAUAGCCAGAAUCCAGGAGCAAGCCAGGGCCCAAAGACGGUGGUCAGAGUCUAUAGAUGAGUCAGAAUCAGUACUGUAACCAAGGUCCAGGUUCAAGCCAAGGGGGUCAAAGCCAGGUGGUCAGAGUCCAGGGACAAGCCAAGUCAGUGUAGUAGCCAGGAUCCAGAUACAUACCAACGGUUGAAGCCGGGUAGUUGAGUCCAAGAAUUCAGGGAGGGUCAAGAGGUGGAGGCAAGACUGGAAUAGGUAAGUAAUAGGAUUGGCAUAAGGUCAGAGUAGGGCAAGGACAAAACUGGAACAGAGCUCAGCCAGGCUGGCUCAGGAACAGGAUCAAGAUCAGGCUUGGAGUCUCAAGAGUCAGAUACAAGGCAAGGCAGCAGGCAGGUUUCUGUCUGGGUAGUGCUGUUGCACCUACUGAUCUGCAGCUCUGGCAGGGUUGGAGAAAUACCUGAGCCUGGGGGGUCAUCUGACGCGGGCUCAGCUCAGGAAUAGAUUGCUGCUGCAUGCCUGAGGGCUGAGUCACUGCAGGCUCACUUGGAGUCAGUGCAGUUGGGUUGUUGCUGCAUGCUUGAGAGGUGACUCACCUCUUCUCUGUUGGAGGGGCACCUCUUGAGACUCGGGGGAUGGGUGGCCUGCCCAUUCUGGAAGCCCUCCCUUCCCCAGCUUAAGGGGAGGAGGGGAUCCACUGGACCCAGGCACCAACUAAUCACGGGGGGACAAGAAAUAGUAAAAAAACAGGAUCGGGAGUGCAGGUCACAGGGAUAAAUCAGGGAUUCAGUAGGGGACCCUGAGCAGAGGAAGGCGAAACCAGAGGAAACCUGGGACAGUGCCCAUUGCUCCUUGAAGGCAUCUGUGGAGGCAGUGACACAGCCCAGAGGAACUCUGUCUGCAGGUUAACUUUCAUUGGCACUGAGCCAGACAAAGCAGACUGAUCUGUCCAAAGCUGAACUGUCACAAACAACUCUCCCUUUCAGCAGAGAAGCUAAGGACAAAAUGGUCAUGGAAGCGGAAUUGCCUUCCGAUCCCUAGACAUUACUCCUGGUCUGGACUGAGGAACGAAGGAAAGGAAGAGAAGCCUAGGAAUUAAAGACUGCAGCUGCUUCUCAAAGCUCAUAUUGCUUUUUCAAACUUCAUAGCAAUGGC